This is a non-coding RNA of Camellia sinensis, 610 nucleotides long. The record is from RefSeq and is a predicted model, not a curated record. Lineage: Eukaryota; Viridiplantae; Streptophyta; Magnoliopsida; Ericales; Theaceae.
GGCAAAUAGAUGAGCUGGCGGGAGAAGAGAAGACACAUAAGUCUAUAGAGAAAAGAGAGAAGUUUGGCUAUUCCAAUUGAAGACAAAGAAGAAGGUAUACGUCGUGGUUUUCUUCUCCAUUUACUUCGCGAAGAGGCUUCACAUGGUCCGGUUUUUUCCUGGAACAAUUGGUCUAGGGGCAGGUUCGGAUCGUGACACUGACCAAUACUUGUGUGAGAGUUGAGAGAAAUUCUGAAGCAACAUCAGUACGGAUAGCUAAAAAAUCAGAAAACUCUUAAGGGUAAUCUAGGGAUGACUCUUGAAGCUAUGCACACUGAGUUGAUUGAGACUUAUGGUGUGGAGGUCAAGGUACGUAAGCCCUAGCCUAAGAAGAUGGAAGAAACAAGCUUUGAGGUUGCUAAAUUUCGAACUAUCAAAGGAACCCAGAAUCACACGUGUGGCGGGUCAUCCCGCACGGGCGGAAGUUUUUCCCUUGCAAACAUUUUGCUUCUAAAAUAAUUGCAAGUGCAGGCAUUUCAACACAAAGCUCAUAUCAUCCAUACCAUUAGUAAUUUCCUUUCCCCCAAGUUUGGUUCACAUUAUAAGAUAAUUUAAGACAUCAACAUUAUGA